This 342-nucleotide ribosomal RNA is filed under the name uncultured bacterium. RNAcentral's name for it is "bacterial SSU rRNA". It matches the Rfam family "Bacterial small subunit ribosomal RNA", at positions 8 to 354 of the family's 1533-position model. The record is from RNAcentral.
AGAGUUUGAUCCUGGCUCAGGAUGAACGCUGGCGGCGUGCCUAAUACAUGCAAGUCGAACGCUUCACAUAUGUGAAGAGUGGCGAACGGGUGAGUAAUACAUAAGUAACCUGGCCUUUACAGGGGGAUAACUAUUGGAGACGAUAGCUAAGACCGCAUAGGUGUGAUAACCGCAUGGAGAUGACAUGAAAUAUGCUACGGCAUAGGUAGAGGAUGGACUUAUGGCGCAUUAGCUAGUUGGAGGGGUAACGGCCCACCAAGGCGACGAUGCGUAGCCGACCUGAGAGGGUGACCGGCCACACUGGGACUGAGACACGGCCCAGACUCCUACGGGACGCAGCAG